UGGUGUGAAGAUAGAUAUGGGUUUUGCUGCUUCAUUGGCUUCAUGGUAGACAUGAGUGGCCAUGAAGAGCUGCAAUGAUGGUUUGAGUUCCCAAAGAUCCUGAUAUAGAGGAUGGCUAUGUCUGCCUCUUGUUCAACCAGUGGAUCAUGAUAAGUGCAUGCCUUUUUAUCCAAAUUUUGAGCAUUUAAUUUAUAAACGACCAUCGUUAGCCCUAUCCAAAUUGCCCUAAAUUCUACUAUUGGCACAAAUGAGUAUGAAUAAUUCGAAAAGUUGCACAAAGAGUUUGACCCCUAUAGCCUC
RNAcentral lists this long non-coding RNA (300 nucleotides) under Elaeis guineensis (African oil palm). RNAcentral's name for it is "long non-coding RNA (EGUI_LNC031586)". Lineage: Eukaryota; Viridiplantae; Streptophyta; Magnoliopsida; Arecales; Arecaceae. The record is from RNAcentral.